This 1941-nucleotide long non-coding RNA is filed under the name Oncorhynchus mykiss (rainbow trout). RNAcentral describes it as "lncRNA (ENSOMYG00000067556.1)". The record is from RNAcentral. Lineage: Eukaryota; Metazoa; Chordata; Actinopteri; Salmoniformes; Salmonidae.
UCAACCUUGAAGCAUAAUUAAUAUACCCAGUAUAUGAUAGACAUCCUCAAUGAAUCCUGAGCAUGAAUUCAUUAGUUGUAAUUACAGAUUUCAUAUGGGGAGAGGCCACAGAACAGGGGAUGAGGAGGAGGAGUAGGAAGGCUCCACAGAACAGGGGAUGAGGAGGAGGAGUAGGAAGGUUCCACAGAACAGGGGAUGAGGAGGAAGAGUAGGAAGGUUCCACAGAACAGGGGAUGAGGAGGAAGAGUAGGAAGGUUCCACAGAACAGGGGAUGAGGAGGAGUAGGAAGGCUCCACAGAACAGGGUCAAUCAAAUGUAUCCUGCAUCUUUCUCGCUCUCUCUCUCCCUCCCUCUCUCUCCCUCUCUCUCGUAACAACCAUGUAAAUUCAAGUAAUUGAACAAUCAGGUGCUCUCUCUCUCAGUAAAGUAGAGGAGUAAUCUGCCAGAGGCUGAGAAUUUCAAAUGAUCUUAACCAGACACUUAAUUCAAUUCCUACAGCUUUAUGAACAAAAUAAGUGGUGUGUUUAAUUCAAAUAAUCAGCACAAGGUACGAAGUCUAUCAGAGUAUGGGCACUGGUCAAAACAAGUAGUGAAGUCAGAGCUUGAUUACAACCAAACAGUGUUUGUUUGACUCCCUCAGUUAUAUCUUGACCAACAAAAAAAAGAAACGUCCGUUUUUCAGGACCCUUGUUUUUCAAAGAUAAUACCCUUAUUGGCCUUCUUGCAACACCUGAGUUAAGAAAAGAUUUACUAAAUAAACUAAUGCAACAUAUUGAAUGCCAACCACCAUUAAACCCACCGAAGAAGAAGAAGUAGUCCUGUUGCGUUUUGAUAGUCAGGGAACAGGAAGUUCCGGGCAGGCUUCGGCCACAAUUGUUCUCUGAAGACAGUAGCGGUUGUGUCCGUUUCAGAAGUAUUAACUAAAGACCAACUCAGAUUAAGUCUGAGGCCGGUAACAUCAACAGUGAGGACAAACCCAGCCUGCCUCUCCCCUUCCACACUGAGUCCAAACCUACAGUCACUGGGUCCUGAUUGUGACAGUGGAGCCCAGUUUGCACUGCAGGAUCCAGAGAUGGCAUCAGUGAAGCUGGAAGACUGCAGUCAAACACUGGAGCUGAAUGUCAACAUUAAAGAUGAAGAAGAGGAGGAGGAGAUUGGUACAUCUGUUAGUCAUGGUAAGAGCAGGUUCUAUCUAUAAGUUAUCUUCAUAUAUUAGACCUCCAUAAGUUAUGAACCAGUCUGUUGAUAGGUUGAAUUCUGUAAUUCUGACAUCACACAUCCCUGAACAACUGGAUUAUCUGGAGUGAUCAGAGAGGAGACUAAAGAAGUGAAGUAGACAAACUGCCAGUGUUUUAAAGUUCUAUGAAAUGAGUCUGUGUAGUUACUAACCCUUGCGAUAGUGAGUGGAGGAUGAUAUGAAAUGAGUCUGUGUAGUUACUAACCCUUGUGAUAGUGAGUGGAGGAUGAUAUGAAAUGAGUCUGUGUAGUUACUAACCCUUGUGAUAGUGAGUGGAGGAUGAUAUGAAAUGAGUCUGUGUAGUUACUAACCCUUGUGAUAGUGAGUGGAGGAUGAUAUGAAAUGAGUCUGUAGUUACUAACCCUUGUGAUAGUGAGUGGAGGAUGAUAUGAAAUGAGUCUGUGUAGUUACUAACCCUGGUGAUAGUGAGUGGAGGAUGAUAUGAAAUGAGUCUGUGUAGUUACUAACCCUUGUGAUAGUGAGUGGAGGAUGAUAUGAAAUGAGUCUGUAGUUUCUAACCCUUGUGAUAGUGAGUGGAGGAUGAUAUGAAAUGAGUCUGUGUAGUUACUAACCCUUGUGAUAGUGAGUGGAGGAUGAUAUGAAAUGAGUCUGUAGUUUCUAACCCUUGUGAUAGUGAGUGGAGGAUGAUAUGAAAUGAGUCUGUGUAGUUACUAACCCUUGUGAUAGUGAGUGGAGGAUGAUAU